RNAcentral lists this ribosomal RNA (413 nucleotides) under uncultured Rhizophagus. RNAcentral's name for it is "partial 28S ribosomal RNA". Lineage: Eukaryota; Fungi; Glomeromycota; Glomeromycetes; Glomerales; Glomeraceae. The record is from RNAcentral.
GAGAGUUAAACAGUACGUGAAAUUGUUGAAAGGGAAACGAUUGAAGCCAGUCGUACCUUCGGGUAAUCAGCCUUUCGGGUGCGAUUCUGUGGAGUGUGAGGAGCUUAAACACCUUCAUGUUUUGCAUAUUCGUACUCUUGGGUGUACUUGCCCGUGUGGUUGGUUAACAUCAAUUUUGGUGGUCAUAAAAUGACUGGGGGAAUGUAGCUUCGAUCUUGUAUUGAAGUGUUAUAGCCUUCGGUAGAUGUGAUGAUCGAGAUUGAGGAUUGCAACGGAUACCCUUCGGGGCUACCUGUCUGAUCUCUGAUCGUUGCUCUGGUGCCGAAAGCUUGCUUAUGAUGUUAGGGUAUUACGGUCAAAAGGUUAGAACGGAUUAAAUUCGUUAAGGAUGUUGACGUAAUGACUUUAAACGA